CUGAUAUUAGUACCUAAAAUUUUCAGCCUGUGAAUAGCUGUGGAAAUUUGGGACUUCCUUUUUUUGAAGAUAUAAAUAGAUCUAAGCUAUAUUUAGACUAAAGUUUUUUUCAGUAUAACAGCAUGUAGAGAACCCUUACAUACAGUCAAAUAUUCUUGAUAGUGCAAGGAAAUAUAAUGCAUUUUUCAAGUGCUUGCUGUUUCUUAUGUUGUGCAUACUUGAUAUAGGUCAUUGUCAAUGUCAACUAUCAUUAUACUGACAUUUGAAGUUGUUGUUUUUUUUUCUAAAUUACCUCCCUUAUAUAUGCAUUUUUCUUUAUUCAUUUUAUUGAUAAUUACUUCCCUUUAUGUUUAGCAAAAAUUCUCAGAUUGCAUUUAAUUAACUCCCUUUAUUUAACAUGAAAAAUUCUCUUGUGUAAUGAUUAUUUGUAUAUUUUACUUACAGUGUCUGAUACAUGUAGUUGCAUUCUGUCUUUGGAAGCUGUAGAAAUAACAAGAAAGAGGCUGACAUAGUGUUUUGGUAGGGAAAAGUUUGAGUAUGUACAUGUACAGUUGUUUGACCUGUCUUACCCUGUGGCAGUCCAAGAAGAUGUUACCAUUAUGAAAAAUGCAGGAGAACUUGAAGACAAUGGUUAGUGCAGAAGGGACAUAAAAGUUAUGACAAAAUUAACAGAUAUAAAUAAGAAGUGCUACAAGUGUGUUGUCGUGUGAAAUGGAAUUUACCCCAACUGUGCUGCAGGAUGUAUAUUCAAAUGCAAGACAGCCAUGCACAAGCUGUAAACUGAGAUGGACCCAUAUAAUAAAUAUAUUGACUUUUCUAUUUAUUAUCAUCUAUACAGAAUGUGUUCAUGACAAGACUGUAUACAUAUAUUGUUAAAUCAUUUUUUAUUUCCAUUAUUGCAUGCAUGUAAGAAGCAAGCAUUUAACAAUUGCAUUCAUAGAAGUGUUAAAAUGUGAUCAAUCUAAUUUAAAGAAACACAUUUAAUUGGACUUUUAAAGUUUCAUAGUAUUUGUGGUGGAGACUGACCCAGUCAUUCAGCAAUUUAUACUGUCUGUGUGUCAUUUCUUGUAUGUUAUAGUUUUCUUAAUAAUAUAUUAAAUGUAAAAGUUAUGGUAAGAUGAACUCAUUCAUCACUUGUAGAUUAAUGUUAAAGCAGUUCAACAUUUUACCAUAAGUUAACUCAUAUUCUAUUUAACCAGAUUUGUCACAUAUUUUCAUAUAAAUAUUUGUAUAAUACAGUCUAAUCUAAUCUACAUAUGAUGUUCCGCAAUUUUCAGUUAUAUUUUAUGUUGAUAUUUUAUGUUGUUUUCAUGUCUCAACAUAUAAUUACUAACAUCAAAGAAACUUAAGUAUUUUACAAUUUGGUUGGUAUAAAUGGUUGUUUUGUUUAUAUAUUUUAUUUUUUUUCCAUCCAGGAGAAUAAAGAAAUAUACAUUUCAAAAUAUCUCAUCAUUCCAGAUAAGUACACUGCAUAAUCAAGAUAAAAGAAAUAAGAACAAAAUAUGUUGGUGGAAUUUUAUUUUCAAAAAUUUGAUAUACAGUCUUUGUAGUAUUUACUUCUUUAGAUAUGUUGGACUGAAAUGGGAAUAACAACAUACUUUAAAUUUUUGUAGUCAUAAGUUAAUAUGGAAAUUAUUAACUUAACUUAAAAAGAUUUUAUCUCACUGUUAUGCCAUCUGAGCUUUAAUAUUUUUCAACAUUGUCAUUGGCAACAAGGCUCAAAAUUAUUUGUUGUGUAUACCUUGCAUUCAUGUGUGAUAAAUGCAUUUAUGGUAUUCUUUAAUAUAAUUUAUGCUUUUCAUCUUACCAUGGAUUAAAAAAAUAUAAAUUUAUUUGUCUGAAAAUUAAGGUAAAAAUACUGACUGAUUAAAUUGCAAUAUAAGAAAGCUUAUUUGAGAUAAAGGGAGGUAAUUCCAUAAAAAAUA
This is a long non-coding RNA of Mercenaria mercenaria, 1925 nucleotides long. RefSeq lists it as uncharacterized. Lineage: Eukaryota; Metazoa; Mollusca; Bivalvia; Venerida; Veneridae. The record is from RefSeq and is a predicted model, not a curated record. The transcript has 4 exons.